Molecule: small nuclear RNA, 107 nt
Organism: Ictidomys tridecemlineatus (thirteen-lined ground squirrel)
Lineage: Eukaryota; Metazoa; Chordata; Mammalia; Rodentia; Sciuridae
Source: Ensembl
AUGCUCACUUCGGCAGCACAUAUAAUGAAAUUGGGAUGAUGCAGAGAAGAUUAGCACGGCCCUUGUGCAAGGAUGACACCCAAAUUCAUGAAAUGUUCCAUAUUUUU